This 680-nucleotide small RNA is filed under the name Pongo abelii (Sumatran orangutan). Its description in RNAcentral is "processed transcript". The record is from RNAcentral. Lineage: Eukaryota; Metazoa; Chordata; Mammalia; Primates; Hominidae.
GUCCUUAUAAGCCUGUGCACCUGGGCCUGGGCCCUACAGAUAAGGUAGCUGCUAUUGAUGAAUUUGACAACGCCCAUUUUACACUCCUUGGGAUCCCCAACAAACCCCUGCAGUGUUUGGACAUCACCGCGACAGGCCAGAAGCUCCGCAACAGGUACCACGAGGGAAAGCUGGCGCCCAUCGCGCCAGGCAUCAACCGAGUGGACUGGCCCUGCUUCACGCGCGCCAUCGAGGACUGGUCCCACUUCGUGUCCUCGGCCGGGGAGUUCAAGCUGCCUUGCCUGAGCAAGCGAGUGGAGGGUCCCAGCGGCUACGCGGUGCGGUACUUGAAGCCGGACGUGACCCAGAGCUGGCGGUACUGUCUCAACCAGAACCCCAGCCUGGACCGCUACGGACAGAAGCCCCUGCCUUUCGACUCCCUGAACACUUUCCGAAGCUUCGGCUCCAGCUACAGGCUAGAGUGCAAUGGCCUGAUCUCAGCUCACUGCAACCUCCACCUCUCAGGUUCAAGCAAUUCUCCUGCCUCAGCUUUCUGAGUAGCUGGGAUUACAGUCGUGUCAACUACCUGACCCCCUGGCAUUAAUCUCUGGAAAGGAGGCUGACUCCCAGGCUGCCAGACAGUGCCACCUCAGGUCCCCUGGCCAGACCGAGGACUUAUGGUGGCACCAGCCAUCUCCCCA